UAAGGCUAGAUCGUGACAGGUAAGCGAAAUCUUAGGAAAGUAGCGAAGCACAUGAUGACGGCUUCUAGGAAAAGCUUCUGGCAAUGCAUAUGCGGCCCGUACCAAAACCGACACAGGUGGGCAGGGAGAGAAUCCCGAGGUGAGCGAGAGAACUGUUGCCAAGGAACUCGGCAAAAUGACUCCGUAAGUUAGCGAGAAGGAGUGCUUAAGCAAUUAAGCCGCAGUGAAGAGGCCCAAGCGACUGUUUAACUAAAACACAGCUCUCUGCGAAGUCGCAAGACGAAGUAUAGGGGGUGACACCUGCCCGGUGCUGGAAGGUUAAGAGGAUCUGUUAAGAGCGAUCUGAAGCAGUGAUCCGAAGCCCCAGUGAACGGCGGCCGUAACAAUAACGGUCCUAAGGUAGCGAAAUUCCUUGUCAGGUAAGUUCUGACCCGCACGAAAGGUGUAACGAUUUGGGCGCUGUCUCGGCAGCAGACUCGGUGAAAUCUUAGUACCUGUGAAAAUGCAGGUUACCCGCAACUAGACGGAAAGACCCCAUGGAGCUUUACUGCAGCCUGAUAUUGAAUUCUGGUCAUACAUGUACAGGAUAGGUGGGAGACAAAGAGACGUGCACGCCAGUGUACGAGGAGUCGACGUUGGGAUACCACUCUUGUGUGACUGGGGUUCUAACCUGGUAUCGAGAACAGGUACGGGGAGAGUGUCAGGUGGGCAGUUUGACUGGGGCGGUCGCCUCCCAAAGAGUAACGGAGGCGCCCAAAGGUACGCUCAGAUUUGAUGGAAACCAAUCGUCGAGUGCAAUUGCAGAAGCGUGCUUGACUGUGAGACAGACAAGUCGAACAGGGACGAAAGUCGGGAAUAGUGAUCCGGCGGUGCCGAAUGGAAGGGCCGUCGCUCAACGGAUAAAAGCUACCCUGGGGAUAACAGGCUGAUCUCGCCCAAGAGUUCACAUCGACGGCGAGGUUUGGCACCUCGAUGUCGGCUCAUCGCAUCCUGGAGCUGGAUUCGGUUCCAAGGGUUGGGCUGUCCGCCCAUUAAAGCGGUACGCGAGCUGGGUUCAGAACGUCGUGAGACAGUUCGGUCCCUAUCUGUUGUGGGCGAAGGAGAUCUGCGGAGAGCUGUCCUCAGUACGAGAGGACCGGGAUGGACCUACCGCUGGUGCACCGGUUGUUCCGCCAGGGGCAUAGCCGGGUAGCUAAGUAGGGAAAGGAUAAGCGCUGAAAGCAUCUAAGCACGAAGCCUACUCCAAGAUGAGAUCUCCCAUUCGCAAGAAGUAAGACCCCUUAAAGACGAUAAGGUAGAUAGGCCAGGGAUGGAAGUGCAGUGAUGUAUGGAGUUGACUGGUACUAAUCGGUCGAGGACUUAAUU
Molecule: ribosomal RNA, 1365 nt
Filed under: metagenome
Description: bacterial LSU rRNA
Rfam family: Bacterial large subunit ribosomal RNA
Source: RNAcentral